GGGGCAGUAGUUCAGCUGGUCCAGAACGCCGGUCUCCAAAACCGGAGGUCCCAGGUUCGAAUCCUGGCUGCCCCG
This 75-nucleotide transfer RNA is filed under the name Thermoleophilaceae bacterium. RNAcentral's name for it is "tRNA-Trp". It matches the Rfam family "tRNA". From Rfam's summary of the family: Transfer RNA (tRNA) molecules are approximately 80 nucleotides in length. Their secondary structure includes four short double-helical elements and three loops (D, anti-codon, and T loops). RNAcentral also lists the same sequence under 1 other name. The record is from RNAcentral. Lineage: Bacteria; Bacillati; Actinomycetota; Thermoleophilia; Thermoleophilales; Thermoleophilaceae.